This 900-nucleotide ribosomal RNA is filed under the name Triticum aestivum (bread wheat). Its description in RNAcentral is "partial small subunit ribosomal RNA". Lineage: Eukaryota; Viridiplantae; Streptophyta; Magnoliopsida; Poales; Poaceae. The record is from RNAcentral.
AUGACGAUGCUGGGGCAGCCACAGGCGCAGCCGGCGGCGGCGUUCGGGGACACCACGCUGACCAAGGUGUUCGUGGGCGGGCUGGCGUGGGAGACGCACAAGGACACCCUCCGCGAGCACUUCGAGCGCUUCGGCGACAUCCUCGAGGCCGUCAUCAUCUCCGACAAGCUCACCGGCCGCUCCAAGGGCUACGGCUUCGUGACGUUCAAGGAGGCGGAGGCGGCCAAGAAGGCGUGCGAGGACGGCACCCCGGUCAUCAACGGCCGCCGCGCCAACUGCAACCUCGCCUCCCUCGGCGCCAAGCCGCGGCCCCAGCCGCCGCACCUCCUCCGCCCCUCGCCGCCGACCACCCCGGCGCCGCAUCACAUGCCAGCGCUCCCGUCCCCUCACCGCCAGCCCGCGCCAGCCAUCGCGGUGGGGUCCAGGGGCGUGUCGCCGGUGCCGUGGUACUACCACCCUUCCACGACGCCGCCGCCGCCGCCGCAGGCCGCGCACUACGGCCACGGCGCUCACCAGCAGUACCACGGCGUCCUCCCGUUCUACCCCGCCGCCGCCAACUACGGCUACUCCCCAAACUACGUCACUGACCUGAGCUACAACGCGAAGCUGGGCCAAGCGGCGGCGGCAGCGGCGCCUGGCGCGGGCGGGUCCUACAUGCAGCCGCAGGGGCACUUCUCGUACCCGCCGGCGGCGGCGCAUGGAGGCAUGCUCGCGCCCAACGGCAUGAUGCCCGUGUACCCCUACUACCACUACCACUACCACGGCUCGCAGGGGCUGGGCGUCCCGGCCGCGCACUUCUUCCCGCCGGUCUCCGCCGCCGUGCCCACCGUGCCCGCCAUCAUCUCAAAGCCCACAGUCAUGGUGCCUUCCAAAGUGGAGCAGGUGGCUGGGUGCAGCUGA